This 66-nucleotide transfer RNA is filed under the name Acanthormius sp. 3 DLJQ-2021a. RNAcentral describes it as "Acanthormius sp. QL-2013 tRNA-His". The record is from RNAcentral. Lineage: Eukaryota; Metazoa; Arthropoda; Insecta; Hymenoptera; Braconidae.
AUUUAAAUAGUUUAAUUAAUUAAAAUUUUGAUUUGUGGAAUCAGGGAUAUAGAUUUAUUUUAAAUA